RNAcentral lists this transfer RNA (77 nucleotides) under bacterium. Its description in RNAcentral is "tRNA-Pro". It matches the Rfam family "tRNA". From Rfam's summary of the family: Transfer RNA (tRNA) molecules are approximately 80 nucleotides in length. Their secondary structure includes four short double-helical elements and three loops (D, anti-codon, and T loops). Further hydrogen bonds mediate the characteristic L-shaped molecular structure. tRNAs have two regions of fundamental functional importance: the anti-codon, which is responsible for specific mRNA codon recognition, and the 3' end, to which the tRNAs corresponding amino acid is attached (by aminoacyl-tRNA synthetases). tRNAs cope with the degeneracy of the genetic code in two manners: having more than one tRNA (with a specific anti-codon) for a particular amino acid; and 'wobble' base-pairing, i.e. permitting non-standard base-pairing at the 3rd anti-codon position. The record is from RNAcentral. RNAcentral also lists the same sequence under 10 other names.
CGGGGCGUAGCUCAGCUUGGUAGAGCGCUGCGUUCGGGACGCAGAGGUCACAGGUUCAAAUCCUGCCGCCCCGACCA